AGAGUUUGAUCCUGGCUCAGAUUGAACGCUGGCGGCAUGCCUUACACAUGCAAGUCGAACGGUAACAGGCCGCAAGGUGCUGACGAGUGGCGAACGGGUGAGUAAUGCAUCGGAACGUGCCCAGUCGUGGGGGAUAACUGCUCGAAAGAGCAGCUAAUACCGCAUACGACCUGAGGGUGAAAGCGGGGGACCGUAAGGCC
Molecule: ribosomal RNA, 200 nt
Filed under: uncultured bacterium
Lineage: Bacteria
Description: partial 16S ribosomal RNA
Rfam family: Bacterial small subunit ribosomal RNA
Source: RNAcentral